This is an RNA transcript of Bubalus bubalis (water buffalo), 1950 nucleotides long. It is a transcript of the gene named purinergic receptor P2X 4, with no coding region annotated. The record is from RefSeq and is a predicted model, not a curated record. The transcript has 12 exons. Lineage: Eukaryota; Metazoa; Chordata; Mammalia; Artiodactyla; Bovidae.
UUCCGGGCCCUCCCCACCGCGAACGGCGGUUCCAGGCGGGGCUCCCGGGCAGGGACGCGGCGGCGGGGCCGGCAACCGGGCCUAGAGCGCAGAGCCGGGCGGCGCGGCGGCGGCGCCAUGGCGGGCUGCUGCGCGGUGCUGGGGGCCUUCCUGUUCGAGUACGACACGCCGCGCAUAGUGCUCAUCCGCAGCCGUAAAGUGGGGCUCAUGAACCGCACGGUGCAGCUGCUCAUCCUGGCCUACGUCAUCGGGUGGGUGUUUGUGUGGGAAAAGGGUUACCAGGAAACGGACUCUGUGGUCAGCUCAGUUACUGUGAAAGCCAAGGGCGUCACCAUGACCAACACCUCUAAACUUGGAUUCCGGAUUUGGGAUGUAGCUGAUUACGUGAUUCCAGCUCAGGAGGAAAAUUCUGUCUUCAUCAUGACCAACAUGGUGAUCACCAUGAAUCAGACGCAAGGCCUCUGUCCUGAGAUCCCGGGUAAGACCACGGUGUGUGAAACUGAUGCCAGCUGCACUGCCGGCUCUGCAGGCACCCACAGCAGCGGAGUCGCGACAGGGAGGUGCGUGUCGUUCAAUAGGACCUUGAAGACAUGUGAGGUAGCAGCCUGGUGCCCGGUGGAGGACGACACAGAAGUGCCAAAGCCUGCUUUUUUAAAGGCUGCAGAAAACUUCACUCUUUUGGUUAAGAACAACAUCUGGUAUCCCAAAUUUAACUUCAGCAAGAGGAAUAUCCUUCCCAACAUCACCACCGCCUACCUCAAAACGUGCAUUUAUGAUGCGAAAACAGAUCCCUUCUGCCCUAUAUUCCAACUUGGAAAAAUUGUGGAGAGCGCAGGGCACAGCUUCCAGGACAUAGCCAUUGAGGGAGGCAUCAUGGGCAUCCAGAUCAAGUGGAACUGCAACCUGGACAGGGCCGCCUCCUUCUGCCUGCCCAGGUAUUCCUUCCGCCGCCUGGACACCCGCGACGUGGCCCACAACGUAUCCCCAGGCUACAAUUUCAGGUUUGCCAAGUACUACAGCGACCUGAACGGUGCUGAGCGCCGCACGCUCAUCAAAGCCUAUGGCAUCCGCUUUGACAUCAUCGUGUUUGGAAAGGCUGGGAAAUUUGACAUCAUCCCCACCAUGAUCAACAUUGGUUCUGGCUUGGCGCUCUUGGGGGUGAUGGGGGAGCCUUUCCUUUCCUUGGAGGAUCCCAGGUGUCAUGGGAAGGGGCACACACAGAAGAGCAGAGACCACAGCAACUUGGCUCAUUCUUUCUCGCCCUGCGCCACGUUCAGGCGACAGUGCUGUGUGACGUCAUAGUCCUCUACUGCAUGAAGAAGAGAUACUACUAUCGCGAGAAGAAAUAUAAAUACGUGGAAGACUAUGAGCAGGGUCUUGGUAAUCAGAUGGACCAAUGAUGCCCACCCCUCACCUGGGCUCUCCACAGGCCUCAUCAGAGCACAGCGAGGAAGGAGAAAAGGCUGCCACGUCAUCCCAGAGAAAGUUCCAGAUUCUGAGUCAUCUCCAGAAGCACUGCAGGGUUGCCCAGCUGCUCCUGCGUUCUCUGUGUAGGGUUUGUGCAGUAAACCACUCUGCACAGUGGCAGCCAGCUCACCUCUGCCGUGCCUUCAGUUCAGCAUCACUGGGCUGAGCUCCGGCCCAAGGCCAGUGAUGCAGCAAUGGCUGCAUGGGGGCCUUCUCCAAGGCUGGCUUUCCUCAGAAUCUUCCAUCUCUAGCCCCCUGGGAGACCAGGCCGGUCCUCCAAGGCCCGACAGCUCCAUUAAGCACUUUAUGAGGAAGGCAGGACCCCGGGUAUGGUCGUAGCUCUUUAGCACUCUGGGCCACUGUUCCUCUUCCCCGACCGAGGCUUCAACCCCACACUCGUGGGGCGGAGCCAGCGUUUUUCCUUUGUGAAGAGCUACACUAAGAUGACUGAGGACCAAACAUUAAAACAAUUGACUUUCUUAA